GGGGCUAUAGCUCAGCUGGGAGAGCGCCUGCCUUGCACGCAGGAGGUCAG
The sequence is a transfer RNA, 50 nucleotides long. It matches the Rfam family "tRNA", at positions 1 to 48 of the family's 71-position model. Rfam says of the family: Transfer RNA (tRNA) molecules are approximately 80 nucleotides in length. The record is from Rfam.